AUGGUUGAUGCUUUACCGCCUGAAGUUGUUGACCUGGAACAAGAGGGUAAGGUGGAUGUGAGAGCGGAAGCGCACGCCGUGGUGCAGGAUGUCGUGGUGUCCGAAGCACCUGAGGUGCCGGAACCAGAGGUGAAGAGCGAGGAGGUGGUGGUCCGGGACACAACCAAGGUGCAUCCUGCGCAUCAACCAGAGACGAAGGCCGAUGAGGUGCUGGUCAGGGAUACGGACACAGCUGUUGUGGUGCAGGAACCGGAAGCAAAGGGUGAGGUGUCAUGGUCUCGUGAGGCAGCUGGUGCGCAGACUACAGAGGCGGGCUACUUUUGUUGCUGGUGGUACGGGGGCAGGCAGUGGCGGUGGCUGCUGCUUAGAUGUCUUUGCUGGUUCAGAGAGAUAGAUGGAGGUGAGUUUGUUCUGUGCUUAUUAUGA
This 426-nucleotide ribosomal RNA is filed under the name Triticum aestivum (bread wheat). Its description in RNAcentral is "partial small subunit ribosomal RNA". The record is from RNAcentral. Lineage: Eukaryota; Viridiplantae; Streptophyta; Magnoliopsida; Poales; Poaceae.